Molecule: ribosomal RNA, 583 nt
Filed under: Escherichia coli
Lineage: Bacteria; Pseudomonadati; Pseudomonadota; Gammaproteobacteria; Enterobacterales; Enterobacteriaceae
Description: partial 23S ribosomal RNA
Rfam family: Bacterial large subunit ribosomal RNA
Source: RNAcentral
CAUAAGUAACGAUAAAGCGGGUGAAAAGCCCGCUCGCCGGAAGACCAAGGGUUCCUGUCCAACGUUAAUCGGGGCAGGGUGAGUCGACCCCUAAGGCGAGGCCGAAAGGCGUAGUCGAUGGGAAACAGGUUAAUAUUCCUGUACUUGGUGUUACUGCGAAGGGGGGACGGAGAAGGCUAUGUUGGCCGGGCGACGGUUGUCCCGGUUUAAGCGUGUAGGCUGGUUUUCCAGGCAAAUCCGGAAAAUCAAGGCUGAGGCGUGAUGACGAGGCACUACGGUGCUGAAGCAACAAAUGCCCUGCUUCCAGGAAAAGCCUCUAAGCAUCAGGUAACAUCAAAUCGUACCCCAAACCGACACAGGUGGUCAGGUAGAGAAUACCAAGGCGCUUGAGAGAACUCGGGUGAAGGAACUAGGCAAAAUGGUGCCGUAACUUCGGGAGAAGGCACGCUGAUAUGUAGGUGAAGUCCCUCGCGGAUGGAGCUGAAAUCAGUCGAAGAUACCAGCUGGCUGCAACUGUUUAUUAAAAACACAGCACUGUGCAAACACGAAAGUGGACGUAUACGGUGUGACGCCUGCCCGGUGC